GGGGAAUAUUGCACAAUGGGCGAAAGCCUGAUGCAGCAACGCCGCGUGAGGGACGACGGCCUUCGGGUUGUAAACCUCUUUUAGCAGGGAAGAAGCGAAAGUGACGGUACCUGCAGAAAAAGCACCGGCUAACUACGUGCCAGCAGCCGCGGUAAUACGUAGGGUGCAAGCGUUAUCCGGAAUUAUUGGGCGUAAAGAGCUCGUAGGCGGUUUGUCGCGUCUGCUGUGAAAACUGGAGGCUCAACCUCCAGCCUGCAGUGGGUACGGGCAGACUAGAGUGCGGUAGGGGAGACUGGAAUUCCUGGUGUAGCGGUGGAAUGCGCAGAUAUCAGGAGGAACACCGAUGGCGAAGGCAGGUCUCUGGGCCGUAACUGACGCUGAGGAGCGAAAGCGUGGGGAGCGAAC
Molecule: ribosomal RNA, 405 nt
Filed under: uncultured bacterium
Lineage: Bacteria
Description: bacterial SSU rRNA
Rfam family: Bacterial small subunit ribosomal RNA
Source: RNAcentral